UUGUUAUGAAUUGCUUUGCUAUGUCUGAGUAGUUCAGUUAUUAGAUCCAGGGUUCAGAUAGGUUUGUGGGAUUAGCCCCAAACUAUAGAUCUGCCUUGUUGUGAUAUUCGUGAUAGAUUUGUAUUCAUUGCUUGUUUUAGCCUUGCUAACUAGAACUUGAUCAUAGGAUUGCAUACUCAAGCACCCUUGUUAUCCCAUCCUGACAUCUAUCUAUCAUACUAGGACUGCUAGAGAGGGCUAACCGCCAAUUUACUAUCUUAGUAGGGCAUAUCAUACUCGCGCAUAGG
This 287-nucleotide long non-coding RNA is filed under the name Brassica napus (rape). Its description in RNAcentral is "long non-coding RNA (BNAP_LNC005453)". Lineage: Eukaryota; Viridiplantae; Streptophyta; Magnoliopsida; Brassicales; Brassicaceae. The record is from RNAcentral.